AGAGUUUGAUCAUGGCUCAGGAUGAACGCUAGCGGCAGGCCUAAUACAUGCAAGCCGAACGGCAAGAGAUGUAGCAAUACAUUUCCUAGAGUGGCGCAAGGGUGCGUAACACGUAUGCAAUCUGCCCUGUACAGGAGAAUAGCUCGGGGAAACCCGAAUUAAUACUCCGUAAUAAAUUGGUGGGGCAUCUCACUAAUUUUAAAACUGAGGUGGUACAGGAUGAGCAUGCGUCUGAUUAGCUAGUUGGUAGUGUAACGGACUACCAAGGCGAUGAUCAGUAGGGGAACUGAGAGGUUGAUCCCCCACACUGGCACUGAGAUACGGGCCAGACUCCUACGGGAGGCAGCAGUAGGGAAUAUUGGUCAAUGGGUGCGAGCCUGAACCAGCCAUGCCGCGUGCAGGAAGAAGGCCUUCUGGGUUGUAAACUGCUUUUACCAGGGGAUAAAACGACCUUGCGAGGUUAAUUGAAGGUACCUGGUGAAUAAGCCACGGCUAACUACGUGCCAGCAGCCGCGGUAAUACGUAGGUGGCAAGCGUUGUCCGGAUUUAUUGGGUUUAAAGGGUGCGUAGGUGGUCUAUUAAGUCAGUGCUGAAAUAUCCCGGCUUAACCGGGAGGGUGGCAUUGAUACUGAUGGACUUGAGUAAAGUUGAGGUGGGCGGAAUUGACGGUGUAGCGGUGAAAUGCUUAGAUAUCGUCAAGAACACCUAUUGCGAAGGCAGCUCACUAAGCUUUAACUGACACUGAGGCACGAAAGUGUGGGGAUCAAACAGGAUUAGAUACCCUAGUAGUCC
RNAcentral lists this ribosomal RNA (792 nucleotides) under uncultured bacterium. RNAcentral's name for it is "bacterial SSU rRNA". It matches the Rfam family "Bacterial small subunit ribosomal RNA", at positions 8 to 796 of the family's 1533-position model. The record is from RNAcentral.